This 2190-nucleotide long non-coding RNA is filed under the name Lepisosteus oculatus (spotted gar). RNAcentral describes it as "lncRNA (ENSLOCG00000023267.1)". The record is from RNAcentral. Lineage: Eukaryota; Metazoa; Chordata; Actinopteri; Semionotiformes; Lepisosteidae.
UUGGAAGUGGCUUUGGGUGUAGAUUUAAUUUUUUUAUUGUAUCGUCUUGUAAACUAUUAAAUAACCUAACAAGGAGUAUGAUUUAACCCUUUUGUGUGCUGCAGACAGCAGAGCCUUCCCAAAUCUGUAUGUGGCGACGGGCAGUACAGUCUACCUGACUAUGGACAAUGGUACCCAAUUAAACUUCCAUGAAUUCGACUGGUAUAUGAAAACUUUCAGAGUGGCCAAGUUGAGAAAUUCUACUGUUCACUAUUAUGGAAGGCAAGGUGAAAUCUUUUUGAAUGGGACUCUCAGACUGGACAAUGUUCGCAAAAAUGAUACUGGAGAGAUUACAGCUAAAUUGUUUGACAAAAAUGGAAAAAAUAUCCUCCAAAUCAAAUAUCAUCUCAUUGUUACAGAUCCAGUGUCUCAGCCUAUCAUAGAAUAUACCUGUUCACAAGGACAAUCGGAGUUUCACUGCUCUGUAGAGAGUGACAAUCCCUUGUAUUCAUGGAGUUUUAAUAACAAGCCAUUGCUUGGUGUUGGCAUUUUUCAUAAUGUUGAAAACCAUAAACUCAGUUUAAGGAAUUCUUCUGGCAGAGUCACUUGCACUGUUUCAAAUAAUGUCACCCAAAAUAAGAGUGAAACCCUUGUUUUUUCUUGUACAGGUAAGCCACUUUCCACAUUCAGAUUUUUUAGUUAAAUAGAAUAAUCACGUUGAACAUAUCAGUAUAUGUGUAAUUUAGAAAAGAGUAAAUUUGUCCUAAAUAAAUAACUACUAAGAUGUGUUCACAUUCUGUUGCCAUGUCAACACUGCAGCAGAUAUUUUAUUAACUUGGUUUUGUAAAGCCUGUGGUUUAAAUAGAGUUACUUUGGAUAGUAUUUUUUUUCUUCUGUUCAUCUGUUUUAAUACAUUUGAAUUAAUUCUUAAUCAUAUUUAAUCUUAAUCAUGUUUAAUUUUAAACAUGUGAAGAUUCAAUGCAGGUGACCGGAAGUGGCUGGUGUAUUGGAAUUAAAUUUUCAGCCAUUAUGCUUAUUUGCAUGAUAGCAUCUGCAUUUCACAUCUAUACUCGAAAACAGAAUAAGCAGAAUAUUUGAAGUAAGUAUUAUAUUUUUCUGAAAAAAUCGUAACUCCUUCAGUUCUGUCCUUUGUUUCCAGUAUUUUCAUCCAAAAUUGUUGUAUUGUUCUUGUUCAAAAUGUUAUAUUUAGAUUGUAUUCUAUUAUUAUGAGUCUGUGACAGAUAUUUAAUUUGAAAAUGUGAGUUGAACAAAUACAAUCCUUUCAAAAAGAUAAAAAAGACUUCAUUGAAGCGCUAUUUCAUUAACUUUAUUCUGAGGGGAAAAGUUAACAGAGUCUACCUGUAACACAUGUAGAAGCUGGUUGAUUUAUUACAUACAGUAAUUUAUAUCACAAGCAAGGAUUAAGUGCAAUUUCACCUUUUUGUAAGAAGUAUAUCCUCAAAUGCAUCUUUAAAAAAUAAACAUGUCACAAAUAAAACAAUUUAGCCGAUUUUGCAUUUCUGGUAACACAAAUAUAUACUUAUAUAUAAUAUAUACUUUUCCAUAAAAGUUGUCAUAUUUAUUUCUGAUGUUUUAAAGUUUGAAAAAAAAAACUUUCACAUUUUCAUUGCUAUAUGUUUGUGCAUUGACUGUUUAAUUAUGUUUUAUUAAAAGUAAAUAUUUUGCAUAUGGCUGACCACAACAUCAUCAGUUUUAUUUUACAAUGUUAAAAAAAUGUUGUUCUAGGUCCAACUACAGUGACAUUGCCAGGAUAAGAAAACUCCAUUUCAGGAUGAUGUAAUGUGCUUUGGGUUUUUUAAUAGUUUUGUCAACCUUGUACAUAUUAUGGACAUAUCUGUGGUUAUGAAAUAAAACAAGCCUUUAAAUAAUAUAAUGUUGCCUUAUGUGAAAAUGAAAACACUCUUCGAUUUCUGAAACAGACUGGAGUUUUACUUAAAAGGAAAAUUAUAUCUUUUCUGUGUCUGGGAUGUAGUAAACAAUGAAGAAUAUGCACUUACUGUACAUGCCAAAAAUAUAUAGUGUAUGUUAACAAAAAGUUACUUGAGUCAAAACCUACUGUAAGUGAACUUAUAUCUCAAUAUCUCAAUAUCUCACCCAGUGUGGGUGUUUGCUGCAACUUCAACCAUGGACAAAACCAAUGUUUCCCAUUGGAACAUUUUGCCUUUUUUCUUGUGGAUAUUUGCUUUAUGA